RNAcentral lists this ribosomal RNA (442 nucleotides) under uncultured bacterium. RNAcentral's name for it is "partial 16S ribosomal RNA". It matches the Rfam family "Bacterial small subunit ribosomal RNA", at positions 338 to 795 of the family's 1533-position model. The record is from RNAcentral.
CCUACGGGGUGCAGCAGUGGGGAAUAUUGGGCAAUGGGCGCAAGCCUGACCCAGCAACGCCGCGUGAAGGAAGAAGGCUUUCGGGUUGUAAACUUCUUUUAUCAGGGACGAAGCAAGUGACGGUACCUGAUGAAUAAGCCACGGCUAACUACGUGCCAGCAGCCGCGGUAAUACGGAAGGCCCGAGCGUUAUCCGGAUUCAUUGGGCUUAAAGGGAGCGUAGGCGGGCGUUCAAGUCAGCUGUAAAAUCGCGCGGCUCAACCGCGCCCCGCAGUUGAAACUGGACGCCUUGAGUUCACAACAGGCAGGCGGAAUUCGUGGUGUAGCGGUGAAAUGCAUAGAUAUCACGAGGAACCCCGAUUGCGAAGGCAGCCUGCCGGGGUGCGACUGACGCUGAGGCUCGAAGGUGCGGGUAUCAAACAGGAUUAGAUACCCUUGUAGUC